Molecule: non-coding RNA, 23 nt
Filed under: Mus musculus (house mouse)
Lineage: Eukaryota; Metazoa; Chordata; Mammalia; Rodentia; Muridae
Source: RNAcentral
AGAGCACCCCAUUGGCUACCCAC